CGCUCAUCCAGAGGGGCAGAGGGAACGGCCCGUUGAAGCCCCGGCAACCCUCCAGCCGGUCCUGCGCAUCCAGGCGGGGCUCCCGGCUAGGGAAGGUGCCAAUUCCGUCUCGUGACGAGAUACGCCACGGGGAAGAUGAGGA
This 142-nucleotide non-coding RNA is filed under the name Streptomycetaceae bacterium MP113-05. Its description in RNAcentral is "SAM riboswitch aptamer (S box leader)". It matches the Rfam family "SAM riboswitch aptamer (S box leader)". From Rfam's summary of the family: The SAM riboswitch is found upstream of a number of genes which code for proteins involved in methionine or cysteine biosynthesis in Gram-positive bacteria. The record is from Rfam by way of RNAcentral. RNAcentral also lists the same sequence under 1 other name. Lineage: Bacteria; Bacillati; Actinomycetota; Actinomycetes; Kitasatosporales; Streptomycetaceae.